Molecule: ribosomal RNA, 483 nt
Filed under: uncultured bacterium
Lineage: Bacteria
Description: bacterial SSU rRNA
Rfam family: Bacterial small subunit ribosomal RNA
Source: RNAcentral
UUGAACGCUGGCGGCAGGCCUAACACAUGCAAGUCGAGCGGAUGAGUGGAGCUUGCUCCAUGAUUCAGCGGCGGACGGGUGAGUAAUGCCUAGGAAUCUGCCUGGUAGUGGGGGACAACGUUUCGAAAGGAACGCUAAUACCGCAUACGUCCUACGGGAGAAAGCAGGGGACCUUCGGGCCUUGCGCUAUCAGAUGAGCCUAGGUCGGAUUAGCUAGUAGGUGAGGUAAUGGCUCACCUAGGCGACGAUCCGUAACUGGUCUGAGAGGAUGAUCAGUCACACUGGAACUGAGACACGGUCCAGACUCCUACGGGAGGCAGCAGUGGGGAAUAUUGGACAAUGGGCGAAAGCCUGAUCCAGCCAUGCCGCGUGUGUGAAGAAGGUCUUCGGAUUGUAAAGCACUUUAAGUUGGGAGGAAGGGCAGUAAGUUAAUACCUUGCUGUUUUGACGUUACCAACAGAAUAAGCACCGGCUAACUUCGUG